Molecule: ribosomal RNA, 226 nt
Filed under: uncultured bacterium
Lineage: Bacteria
Description: partial 16S ribosomal RNA
Rfam family: Bacterial small subunit ribosomal RNA
Source: RNAcentral
GCGUUGUUCGGAAUCACUGGGCGUAAAGGGUGCGUAGGCGGAUUUUUAAGUCAGGGGUGAAAUCCCGAGGCUCAACCUCGGAACUGCCUUUGAUACUGGGGAUCUUGAGUCCGGAAGAGGUGAGUGGAACUGCGAGUGUAGAGGUGAAAUUCGUAGAUAUUCGCAAGAACACCAGUGGCGAAGGCGGCUCACUGGUCCGGAACUGACGCUGAGGCACGACAGCGUG